AGUGAACGCUGGCGGUAGGCCUAACACAUGCAAGUCGAACGGCAGCACAGUAAGAGCUUGCUCUUACGGGUGGCGAGUGGCGGACGGGUGAGGAAUACAUCGGAAUCUACUUUUUCGUGGGGGAUAACGUAGGGAAACUUACGCUAAUACCGCAUACGACCCACGGGUGAAAGCAGGGGAUCUUCGGACCUUGCGCGAUUGAAUGAGCCGAUGUCGGAUUAGCUAGUUGGCGGGGUAAAGGCCCACCAAGGCGACGAUCCGUAGCUGGUCUGAGAGGAUGAUCAGCCACACUGGAACUGAGACACGGUCCAGACUCCUACGGGAGGCAGCAGUGGGGAAUAUUGGACAAUGGGCGCAAGCCUGAUCCAGCCAUACCGCGUGAGUGAAGAAGGCCUUCGGGUUGUAAAGCCCUUUUGUUGGGAAAGAAAAGCAGCAGGUUAAUACCCCGCUGUUCUGACGGUACCCAAAGAAUAAGCACCGGCUAACUUCGUG
Molecule: ribosomal RNA, 492 nt
Filed under: uncultured bacterium
Lineage: Bacteria
Description: partial 16S ribosomal RNA
Rfam family: Bacterial small subunit ribosomal RNA
Source: RNAcentral